ACGAAUUGGAGCGAUUGGUUUUUUCUCAGGAGGUAGUCCUAUAAUAGAGGCACCCAACCAACCGGGCUGGACAAGAUUAAAAAAAAACAAAAAGAGAGAAGAGAAGAGCGGAGCAGAGAAGAGAAGAGUGGAUCAAGAAAAAAUGGGAUGGAGAUGGGUAGAAGCAGUAUUGCCAUUAGGAAUCAUAGCAGGAAUGCUUUGCAUAGCUGGUAACGUUCAGUAUGUCAUCCACACGAAAGCUCAUGGCCGUCCUAAGCACAUCGGCAACGAUAUGUGGGACGUCGCUAUGGAGAGAAGGGACAAAAACCUCCUCCUCUCCUCCUCCUCCUCCUCCUCCUCCUAGUCUGCUCAGCUGAGUGCAAGCUGAAUUGAUUUGGAAAAUUUGACAGCGAAAUACGAAAGGAAGCCUUUCCUACAGACUCCAGAAGAGAAAUAAAGUGCGCAUCUGACAUCCCAGUUAUCUAAGGAAGUCCUAUGGGCAGUAUCAGCUUGAUCUUCCUUUUGUUUUGCACAUGAAUUUCUGUCAAGCAGUUGAUCUCAUAAGACAAAUUUGCAGACUCCUUAUCCUCUGUUUUUAACUAUGGGAAUGAAAUUGGCUUUUUACA
RNA transcript from Populus nigra (black poplar), 605 nucleotides. It is a transcript of the gene named NADH dehydrogenase [ubiquinone] 1 alpha subcomplex subunit 1, with no coding region annotated. Lineage: Eukaryota; Viridiplantae; Streptophyta; Magnoliopsida; Malpighiales; Salicaceae. The record is from RefSeq and is a predicted model, not a curated record. The transcript is spliced from 3 exons.